RNAcentral lists this ribosomal RNA (504 nucleotides) under uncultured bacterium. Its description in RNAcentral is "bacterial SSU rRNA". It matches the Rfam family "Bacterial small subunit ribosomal RNA", at positions 24 to 518 of the family's 1533-position model. The record is from RNAcentral.
UCAGAUUGAACGCUGGCGGCAGGCCUAACACAUGCAAGUCGAACGGUAACAGGAAGAAGCUUGCUCUUGCUGACGAGUGGCGGACGGGUGAGUAAUGUCUGGGAAACUGCCUGAUGGAGGGGGAUAACUACUGGAAACGGUAGCUAAUACCGCAUAACGUCGCAAGACCAAAGAGGGGGACCUUCGGGCCUCUUGCCAUCGGAUGUGCCCAGAUGGGAUUAGCUUGUUGGUGGGGUAACGGCUCACCAAGGCGACGAUCCCUAGCUGGUCUGAGAGGAUGACCAGCCACACUGGAACUGAGACACGGUCCAGACUCCUACGGGAGGCAGCAGUGGGGAAUAUUGCACAAUGGGCGCAAGCCUGAUGCAGCCAUGCCGCCGUGCAUGAAGAAGGCCUUCGGGUUGUAAAGUACUUUCAGCGGGGAGGAAGGGAGUAAAGUUAAUACCUUUGCUCAUUGACGUUACCCGCAGAAGAAGCACCGGCUAACUCCGUGCCAGCCGCCGC